UACAGAGGUCUCAAGCGUUGUUCGGAUUCAUUGGGCGUAAAGGGCGCGUAGGCGGUCUUGUAAGUCCUGUGUGAAAUCCCUCGGCUCAACUGAGGAACUGCACGGGAAACUGCUUGGCUUGAGUUCGGGAGAGGGAAGCGGAAUUCCGGGUGUAGCGGUGAAAUGCGUAGAUAUCCGGAGGAACACCGGUGGCGAAGGCGGCUUCCUGGACCGACACUGACGCUGAGGCGCGAAAGCUAGGGGAGCAAACGGG
Molecule: ribosomal RNA, 253 nt
Filed under: uncultured bacterium
Lineage: Bacteria
Description: partial 16S ribosomal RNA
Rfam family: Bacterial small subunit ribosomal RNA
Source: RNAcentral